GAAGGUCGCGGCGAGAUUAGCCUUUUAUACUAUUAAAUAUAAUUUAUACUAUUAAAUAUAAUAGGUGUUAGGUGGAAGUGCAAUGAUGUAUGUAGCUGAAGCAUCCUAAAAAAAAAUGAAAGACCAAGAGAUUUAAAC
RNAcentral lists this ribosomal RNA (138 nucleotides) under Gastrodia javanica. Its description in RNAcentral is "4.5S ribosomal RNA". Lineage: Eukaryota; Viridiplantae; Streptophyta; Magnoliopsida; Asparagales; Orchidaceae. The record is from RNAcentral.